RNAcentral lists this ribosomal RNA (460 nucleotides) under uncultured bacterium. RNAcentral describes it as "partial 16S ribosomal RNA". It matches the Rfam family "Bacterial small subunit ribosomal RNA", at positions 338 to 795 of the family's 1533-position model. The record is from RNAcentral.
CCUACGGGUGGCUGCAGUGAGGAAUAUUGGUCAAUGGACGAGAGUCUGAACCAGCCAAGUCGCGUGAAGGAUGACUGCCCUAUGGGUUGUAAACUUCUUUUAUCUGGGAAUAACAUGUUCCACGUGUGGGGUCUUGUAUGUACCACAUGAAUAAGGAUUGGCCAACUCCGUGCCAGCCGCCGCGGUAAUACGGAGGAUCCGAGCGUUAUCCGGAUUUAUUGGGGUUAAAGGGAGCGUAGGUGGAUUGUUAAGGCAGUUGUGAAAAUUUGGGGCUCAAACGUAAAAUUGCAGUUGAAACUGGCAGUCUGGAGUACAGGAGAGGUGGGCGGAAUGCGGGGUGUAGCGGUGAAAUGCUUAGAUAUCACGAAGAACUCCGAUUGCGAAGGCAGCUCACUGGACUGCAACUGACACUGAGGCUCGAAAGUGUGGGGAUCAAACAGGAUUAGAUACCCGGGUAGUC